Molecule: long non-coding RNA, 704 nt
Organism: Oncorhynchus tshawytscha (Chinook salmon)
Lineage: Eukaryota; Metazoa; Chordata; Actinopteri; Salmoniformes; Salmonidae
Source: Ensembl
CUAGUCCUGAAGAAGGUUAGAUCACAUGCUGCCUGGGUUCUAGUCCUGAAGAAGGUUAGAUCACAUGCUGCCUGGGUUCUAGUCCUGAAUAGGGUUAGAUUACAUGCUGCCUGGGUUCUAGUCCUGAAUAGGGUUAGAUUACAUGCUGCCUGGGUUCUAGUCCUGAAGAAGGUUAGAUCACAUGCUGCCUGGGUUCUAGUCCUGAAGAAGGUUAGAUCACAUGCUGCCUGGGUUCUAGUCCUGAAGAAGGUUAGAUCACAUGCUGCCUGGGUUCUAGUCCUGAAGAAGGUUAGAUCACAUGCUGCCUGGGUUCUAGUCCUGAAGAAGGUUAGAUCACAUGCUGCCUGGGUUCUAGUCCUGAAGAAGGUUAGAUUACAUGCUGCCUGGGUUCUAGUCCUGAAUAGGGUUAGAUUACAUGCUGCCUGGGUUCUAGUCCUGAAUAGGGUUAGAUUACAUGCUGCCUGGGUUCUAGUCCAGAGACUCGUUGACUUCCUUCUAUUGUGUUUUAUUUUUGUAAUUUUUGCAUUAAAAAAACGAAUGGUGUUUAACUAACAUGUUAAAUCUUACAACCUGCUGUACAGACGUCCAUAUCACAGACAUACUGUAGCUACACAAUACAGACGUACAGGGCCUUCAGAGAGUAUUCAUACCCCUUGACUUAUUCCACAUUUGGUUGUUUUACAGCCUGAAUUCAAAAUGGAUUU